GACGAACGCUGGCGGCGUGCUUAACACAUGCAAGUCGAACGGAAAGGCCCUGCUUUUGUGGGGUGCUCGAGUGGCGAACGGGUGAGUAACACGUGAGUAACCUGCCCUUAACUUUGGGAUAACUUCAGGAAACUGGGGCUAAUACCGGAUAGGAGCUCCUGCUGCAUGGUGGGGGUUGGAAAGUUUCGGCGGUUGGGGAUGGACUCGCGGCUUAUCAGCUUGUUUGUGGGGUAGUGGCUUACCAAGGCUUUGACGGGUAGCCGGCCUGAGAGGGUGACCGGCCACAUUGGGACUGAGGUACGGCCCAGACUCCUACGGGAGGCAGCAGUGGGGAAUAUUGCACAAUGGGCGGACGCCUGAUGCAGCAACGCCGCGUGCGGGAUGACGGCCUUCGGGUUGUAAACCGCUUUCGCCUGUGACGAAGCGUGAGUGACGGUAAUGGGUAAAGAAGCACCGGCUAACUACGUG
Molecule: ribosomal RNA, 468 nt
Filed under: uncultured bacterium
Lineage: Bacteria
Description: partial 16S ribosomal RNA
Rfam family: Bacterial small subunit ribosomal RNA
Source: RNAcentral